ACGCCUUUAAUCCCAGUACUCGAGUGGCAGAGACAGGCAGAUCUCUGUGAGUCCGAGGCCAGCCUGGUGUACCAUGUGAGUCCAGGAUAGCCAGGGCUCUGUUACACAGAGAAACUCUGUCUCAGAACAACAAAAUAGAUUCUUGGAACUGGCAUUCAGGUUGAGCUCAGCAUCUGCAAUCAGUCUGAAAAUAUGUUUAACAGGUAGGUGCCUGCGGAGUAAGUCACAUACUGGCCCAACAAUCAAAGCAAAUGUCAGUACAGCAAGUAAACUCACUGUGCUAACCGACUACUACUCUAGGCAUUUCAUCAUACCUGAUAGAAAGCUGCAAGAAAGGAGAUGAGUGACAUACAAUCGUUUACAUUGUUCUUAUAAGUGCAUGCAAUCUGUUGCAAUCCCUCAUCCAGCCGUGUGUUUGCUUUCUUCCUGAUUUAAAGUAAGGCAGCUUCUGUUGCUUAGGACUUUCUUGGAGACAUAAUUUACACAUUAGAACACAGUGGAUCAACUUGAACUUGUAGGAUACACCAGUUUAAGAGCACACUGUGUGACAGGCAUUUCUAAAGCAUGCACUUGAACUUGAUGGGUGUUCCAGCAGUGAAGAAAAGGCUAUAGCCAAAGCUGUUAUUUUAGAAAAUUUAAAACCUAAAAGUUAACCUUAUUGAUCAUAUACUUUCUCUGAUUCUUUGAGAAAUUUUGAAAUAAUGUAAUACUUAAAACAGUAAUUGUUUUAAAAUACAACGCGAUACUAGAGUUCAAAAGAAAAUGAUUAGGGCUGAGAGAAAAGGCAGAGAAAGAAAUGGCAGGUCCAGUCCAAAGCUUUAUUUGCCAAGUUUUCUUAGAUGAAAUUUACCAAGUUAUGAGUUCUUGUAAAUACGUAACAGAAUACUGAGACCCUGUGCCUGAAUGGCAUUAUUAGAUGCUGCUGUGAUGCUGCUGUGAUGUAAUAAACUAUUAACUUGUUGCAAAGUGAUGUAUUUGCCUUAAAUUUUUAUUUUGUGUGUCUUGAAAACUAUAGUAUUAAAGGUAUUGAGAUUGUGCAAAUGCUGGGCACGCUUGGCAUGAAAUAAUCUGUUUUUAUUUUUACACAAUUGUAAUAUAACUAUGCAAGUGUGUUUAUUAAAAGAACACAAACUCC
RNAcentral lists this long non-coding RNA (1135 nucleotides) under Mus musculus (house mouse). RNAcentral describes it as "long non-coding RNA chr12:4678367-4679502". Lineage: Eukaryota; Metazoa; Chordata; Mammalia; Rodentia; Muridae. The record is from RNAcentral.